GAUGAAGAACGCAGCGAAAUGCGAUAAGUAGUGUGAAUUGCAGAAUUCAGUGAAUCAUCGAAUCUUUGAACGCACAUUGCGCCCUUUGGUAUUCCUUAGGGCAUGCCUGUUCGAGCGUCAUUUAAACCUUCAAGCUCAGCUUGGUGUUGGGUGACUGUCCGCUUCACCGCGGACUCGCCUCAAAAUUAUUGGCGGCCGGUACAUUGGCUUCGAGCGCAGCAGAAACGCGAACUCGGGCCCGUCGUAUUGGCUCCCAGAAGCUAUCUUCACAAUUUUGACCUCGGAUCAGGUAGGGAUACCCGCUGAACUUAAGCAUAUCAUAAGCGGAGGA
Molecule: unclassified non-coding RNA, 331 nt
Filed under: soil metagenome
Description: partial contains 5.8S ribosomal RNA, internal transcribed spacer 2, and large subunit ribosomal RNA
Rfam family: 5.8S ribosomal RNA (bases 1-120)
Source: RNAcentral